CGCACAUUGCGCCCGCCAGUAUUCUGGCGGGCAUGCCUGUUCGAGCGUCAUUUCAACCCUCAAGCCCUGCUUGGUGUUGGGGACCGGCCCCCGCCCUCUCUCCCUCUCCGGAGGGGAGAGGCGAGCCGCCCCCGAAAUGAAUUGGCGGUCUCGUCGCUGCCUCCUCUGCGUAGUAACAUACCACCUCGCAUCAGGAGCGCGACGCGGCCACUGCCGUAAAACGCCCAAAACUUUUUAGAGUUGACCUCGAAUCAGGUAGGAAUACCCGCUGAACUUAA
Molecule: unclassified non-coding RNA, 278 nt
Filed under: Conoideocrella tenuis
Lineage: Eukaryota; Fungi; Ascomycota; Sordariomycetes; Hypocreales; Clavicipitaceae
Description: partial contains 5.8S ribosomal RNA, internal transcribed spacer 2, and large subunit ribosomal RNA
Source: RNAcentral